GGCUUGCUCUGUGGGAUCAGUGGCGAACGGGUGAGUAACACGUGAGCAACCUGCCCCUGACUCGGGGAUAAGCGCUGGAAACGGCGUCUAAUACUGGAUAUGUGACGUGACCGCAUGGUCUGCGUCUGGAAAGAAUUUCGGUUGGGGAUGGGCUCGCGGCCUAUCAGCUUGUUGGUGAGGUAAUGGCUCACCAAGGCGUCGACGGGUAGCCGGCCUGAGAGGGUGACCGGCCACACUGGGACUGAGACACGGCCCAGACUCCUACGGGAGGCAGCAGUGGGGAAUAUUGCACAAUGGGCGCAAGCCUGAUGCAGCAACGCCGCGUGAGGGACGACGGCCUUCGGGUUGUAAACCUCUUUUAGCAGGGAAGAAGCGAAAGUGACGGUACCUGCAGAAAAAGCGCCGGCUAACUACGUGCCAGCAGCCGCGGUAAUACGUAGGGCGCAAGCGUUAUCCGGAAUUAUUGGGCGUAAAGAGCUCGUAGGCGGUUUGUCGCGUCUGCUGUGAAAUC
RNAcentral lists this ribosomal RNA (511 nucleotides) under Microbacterium maritypicum. Its description in RNAcentral is "bacterial SSU rRNA". It matches the Rfam family "Bacterial small subunit ribosomal RNA", at positions 77 to 601 of the family's 1533-position model. The record is from RNAcentral. Lineage: Bacteria; Bacillati; Actinomycetota; Actinomycetes; Micrococcales; Microbacteriaceae.